GACAGAGGGUGCAAACGUUGUUCGGAAUUACUGGGCGUAAAGCGUGUGUAGGCGGCCACGUAAGUCGGAUGUGAAAGCCCCGGGCUCAACCCGGGAAGUGCACUCGAUACUGCAUGGCUCGAGUACCGGAGAGGUUGGUGGAAUUCUCGGUGUAGAGGUGAAAUUCGUAGAUAUCUGGAGGAACAUCGGUGGCGAAGGCGGCAUCCUGGACCGGUAUUGACGCUGAGGCGCGAAAGCCAGGGGAGCAAACGGG
Molecule: ribosomal RNA, 253 nt
Filed under: uncultured bacterium
Lineage: Bacteria
Description: partial 16S ribosomal RNA
Rfam family: Bacterial small subunit ribosomal RNA
Source: RNAcentral